RNAcentral lists this ribosomal RNA (468 nucleotides) under uncultured bacterium. RNAcentral describes it as "partial 16S ribosomal RNA". It matches the Rfam family "Bacterial small subunit ribosomal RNA", at positions 28 to 507 of the family's 1533-position model. The record is from RNAcentral.
GACGAACGCUGGCGGCGUGCUUAACACAUGCAAGUCGAACGGAAAGGCCCUGCUUUUGUGGGGUGCUCGAGUGGCGAACGGGUGAGUAACACGUGAGUAACCUGCCCUUGACUUUGGGAUAACUUCAGGAAACCGGUGCUAAUACCGGAUAGGAGCUCCUGCUGCAUGGUGGGGGUAGGAAAGUUUCGUCGGUUGGGGAUGGACUCGCGGCUUAUCAGCUUGUUGGUGGGGUAGUGGCUUACCAAGGCUUUGACGGGUAGCCGGCCUGAGAGGGUGACCGGCCACAUUGGGACUGAGAUACGGCCCAGACUCCUACGGGAGGCAGCAGUGGGGAAUAUUGCACAAUGGGCGGAAGCCUGAUGCAGCAACGCCGCGUGCGGGAUGACGGCCUUCGGGUUGUAAACCGCUUUCGCCUGUGACGAAGCGUGAGUGACGGUAAUGGGUAAAGAAGCACCGGCUAACUACGUG